Molecule: ribosomal RNA, 440 nt
Filed under: uncultured bacterium
Lineage: Bacteria
Description: partial 16S ribosomal RNA
Rfam family: Bacterial small subunit ribosomal RNA
Source: RNAcentral
CCUACGGGUGGCAGCAGUGGGGGAUAUUGCACAAUGGGGGAAACCCUGAUGCAGCGACGCCGCGUGAGUGAAGAAGUAUUUCGGUAUGUAAAGCUCUAUCAGCAGGGAAGAAAAAAGACGGUACCUGACUAAGAAGCCCCGGCUAACUACGUGCCAGCAGCCGCGGUAAUACGUAGGGGGCAAGCGUUAUCCGGAUUUACUGGGUGUAAAGGGAGCGUAGACGGCAAUACAAGUCGGAAGUGAAAUACCUGGGCUCAACCUGGGAACUGCUUUGGAAACUGUAUGGCUAGAGUGCUGGAGAGGUAAGCGGAAUUCCUAGUGUAGCGGUGAAAUGCGUAGAUAUUAGGAGGAACACCAGUGGCGAAGGCGGCUUACUGGACAGUAACUGACGUUGAGGCUCGAAAGCGUGGGGAGCAAACAGGAUUAGAUACCCUUGUAUC